RNAcentral lists this ribosomal RNA (2891 nucleotides) under Klebsiella pneumoniae. Its description in RNAcentral is "bacterial LSU rRNA". It matches the Rfam family "Bacterial large subunit ribosomal RNA". Lineage: Bacteria; Pseudomonadati; Pseudomonadota; Gammaproteobacteria; Enterobacterales; Enterobacteriaceae. The record is from RNAcentral.
ACUAAGCGUACACGGUGGAUGCCCUGGCAGUCAGAGGCGAUGAAGGACGUGCUAAUCUGCGAAAAGCGUCGGUAAGGUGAUAUGAACCGUUAUAACCGGCGAUGUCCGAAUGGGGAAACCCAGUGCAAUUCGUUGCACUAUCGUUAACUGAAUACAUAGGUUAACGAGGCGAACCGGGGGAACUGAAACAUCUAAGUACCCCGAGGAAAAGAAAUCAACCGAGAUUCCCCCAGUAGCGGCGAGCGAACGGGGAGCAGCCCAGAGUCUGAAUCAGCUUGUGUGUUAGUGGAACGGUCUGGAAAGUCCGACGGUACAGGGUGAUAGUCCCGUACACCAAAAUGCACAGGUUGUGAACUCGAAGAGUAGGGCGGGACACGUGGUAUCCUGUCUGAAUAUGGGGGGACCAUCCUCCAAGGCUAAAUACUCCUGACUGACCGAUAGUGAACCAGUACCGUGAGGGAAAGGCGAAAAGAACCCCGGCGAGGGGAGUGAAAAAGAACCUGAAACCGUGUACGUACAAGCAGUGGGAGCACCUUCGGGUGUGACUGCGUACCUUUUGUAUAAUGGGUCAGCGACUUAUAUUCUGUAGCAAGGUUAACCGUAUAGGGGAGCCGCAGGGAAACCGAGUCUUAACUGGGCGUUAAGUUGCAGGGUAUAGACCCGAAACCCGGUGAUCUAGCCAUGGGCAGGUUGAAGGUUGGGUAACACUAACUGGAGGACCGAACCGACUAAUGUUGAAAAAUUAGCGGAUGACUUGUGGCUGGGGGUGAAAGGCCAAUCAAACCGGGAGAUAGCUGGUUCUCCCCGAAAGCUAUUUAGGUAGCGCCUCGUGAACUCAUCUUCGGGGGUAGAGCACUGUUUCGGCUAGGGGGUCAUCCCGACUUACCAACCCGAUGCAAACUACGAAUACCGAAGAAUGUUAUCACGGGAGACACACGGCGGGUGCUAACGUCCGUCGUGAAGAGGGAAACAACCCAGACCGCCAGCUAAGGUCCCAAAGUCAUGGUUAAGUGGGAAACGAUGUGGGAAGGCACAGACAGCCAGGAUGUUGGCUUAGAAGCAGCCAUCAUUUAAAGAAAGCGUAAUAGCUCACUGGUCGAGUCGGCCUGCGCGGAAGAUGUAACGGGGCUAAACCAUGCACCGAAGCUGCGGCAGCGACACUAUGUGUUGUUGGGUAGGGGAGCGUUCUGUAAGCCUGCGAAGGUGACCUGUGAGGGUUGCUGGAGGUAUCAGAAGUGCGAAUGCUGACAUAAGUAACGAUAAAGCGGGUGAAAAGCCCGCUCGCCGGAAGACCAAGGGUUCCUGUCCAACGUUAAUCGGGGCAGGGUGAGUCGACCCCUAAGGCGAGGCCGAAAGGCGUAGUCGAUGGGAAACAGGUUAAUAUUCCUGUACUUGGUGUUACUGCGAAGGGGGGACGGAGAAGGCUAUGUUAGCCGGGCGACGGUUGUCCCGGUUUAAGCAUGUAGGCUGAUUGUCCAGGCAAAUCCGGAUAAUCAAGGCUGAGGUGUGAUGACGAGGCACUACGGUGCUGAAGUAACAAAUGCCCUGCUUCCAGGAAAAGCCUCUAAGCAUCAGGUAACAUCAAAUCGUACCCCAAACCGACACAGGUGGUCAGGUAGAGAAUACCAAGGCGCUUGAGAGAACUCGGGUGAAGGAACUAGGCAAAAUGGUGCCGUAACUUCGGGAGAAGGCACGCUGGUGUGUAGGUGAAGCCCCUGCGGGUGGAGCUGAGACCAGUCGAAGAUACCAGCUGGCUGCAACUGUUUAUUAAAAACACAGCACUGUGCAAACACGAAAGUGGACGUAUACGGUGUGACGCCUGCCCGGUGCCGGAAGGUUAAUUGAUGGGGUUAUCCGUAAGGAGAAGCUCUUGAUCGAAGCCCCGGUAAACGGCGGCCGUAACUAUAACGGUCCUAAGGUAGCGAAAUUCCUUGUCGGGUAAGUUCCGACCUGCACGAAUGGCGUAAUGAUGGCCAGGCUGUCUCCACCCGAGACUCAGUGAAAUUGAACUCGCUGUGAAGAUGCAGUGUACCCGCGGCAAGACGGAAAGACCCCGUGAACCUUUACUAUAGCUUGACACUGAACAUUGAGCCUUGAUGUGUAGGAUAGGUGGGAGGCUUUGAAGCGUGGACGCCAGUCUGCGUGGAGCCAACCUUGAAAUACCACCCUUUAAUGUUUGAUGUUCUAACGUUGGCCCCUGACCGGGGUUGCGGACAGUGUCUGGUGGGUAGUUUGACUGGGGCGGUCUCCUCCCAAAGCGUAACGGAGGAGCACGAAGGUUAGCUAAUCCUGGUCGGACAUCAGGAGGUUAGUGCAAUGGCAUAAGCUAGCUUGACUGCGAGCGUGACGGCGCGAGCAGGUGCGAAAGCAGGUCAUAGUGAUCCGGUGGUUCUGAAUGGAAGGGCCAUCGCUCAACGGAUAAAAGGUACUCCGGGGAUAACAGGCUGAUACCGCCCAAGAGUUCAUAUCGACGGCGGUGUUUGGCACCUCGAUGUCGGCUCAUCACAUCCUGGGGCUGAAGUAGGUCCCAAGGGUAUGGCUGUUCGCCAUUUAAAGUGGUACGCGAGCUGGGUUUAGAACGUCGUGAGACAGUUCGGUCCCUAUCUGCCGUGGGCGCUGGAGAAUUGAGGGGGGCUGCUCCUAGUACGAGAGGACCGGAGUGGACGCAUCACUGGUGUUCGGGUUGUCAUGCCAAUGGCACUGCCCGGUAGCUAAAUGCGGAAGAGAUAAGUGCUGAAAGCAUCUAAGCACGAAACUUGCCCCGAGAUGAGUUCUCCCUGAGACUUUAAGUCUCCUGAAGGAACGUUAAAGACGAUGACGUUGAUAGGCCGGGUGUGUAAGCGCAGCGAUGCGUUGAGCUAACCGGUACUAAUGAACCGUGAGGCUUAACC